Molecule: long non-coding RNA, 1489 nt
Organism: Carassius gibelio (silver crucian carp)
Lineage: Eukaryota; Metazoa; Chordata; Actinopteri; Cypriniformes; Cyprinidae
Exons: 3
Source: RefSeq, a predicted model, not a curated record
UGUAAUAAAACCGAACGUUUGGCCUCUCAGUUCCCCAGAGAUGACAUGCUGGGGUCAACCAUCUGUGUUCCGCUGUUGGAGUGAGAGAGGAACGGAUGUGCGGUACACUUGGUACAGAGUUGGACACCCAAACCACAUUGUCCUGCACCAAUCCACCGAUCUCUAUCUCCAUUGCUCAAACAUCACUGAAGACAGUCAGAUUUUCUGCUCUGCCUUUAAUGAUGUCAGCAGCCAAAGUAGUGAAUUUGUUUCUCUUCAACUACUUCAGCCUGCAGACAAGGACUGUGUUUAUCUCAUCUCAUCAAGCAUUUUUUCUAGCUAUGAUUGUAUAAGAAGCACAACAACACUCUCAACAUCCAUUCAAACCACAGAGAUAUUCCUGAGCUCUGCAACAGUUUCUCAUCUCACAUGGAGUCAGAAUAAAACCAUGUCAUGUUCUGGUUUACCACUGUGGUAUGAGUGUCUUCGUUGGAUUCUCUCCUCAGUUAUGAUUACCAUCUUAUGUGUAGUGCACACAUGGUCAAAAUAUACAUCAAAAAGGCUUAGGGCUCAAGGCAAACACCCCAAAGACAUCUGAAUGAAAAACAUGGUCGCAGCUUCAUUGCAAGUGUUUCUUUAUUUAUGAUGUGCAUGUACAAACUUUUCAUUCUUUUUAAUUCACACAUUGACUUAAAAAUUAUAUUUCUUGUUCUCAUUAUCCACAAGCUGUACAAUUAAUUCAGCUCCAAACUGCAUGAUUCAUACAAAUUUUGUUUUGUAGACAUUUAAGCUUUAGUUGUGUCUUUUUUUCGUAAAAUGUAAAAAAUAAAUAAAUAUAUAUGGACAGGUGGUCCUUGCAUUACUUACAUUACAAGCAGAUAUCAACAUUAAUGCAAUUAAUAUUAUUAAGGAUUGCAGGGGUUAACUUGUAUCCUGUUUUUCCCAUCGACACAAUUCAAUGGGAAUGAAACCAUGCAAGACUAAAACUGAAAGUGACCCGUUAUCUUGUCUGCCUUUCCUGAAAGGAAAAUAUCACACACAAUGAGCUUUUGUUGAAGUUGUUUUGGGACCUUGUUGCAAGGACAGUGAUCAAGGCGAAAAAAAUACUGUAAAGUAAAUCAGUAAAGACAGAUUUUUCCCUAUACUUUGAAAGUUUUAUAUACACAUUUGAAAAAUAAAAAUAAAAAAGGCAACCGAACACAAUUUCUUUUUUAUUAACUAUAUUUUUUAGAUUUUUUUUUUUUUUUAAUGCAAGAAUUCCCAAACUUUGUCAGCUGAACCCCUCUGAUCUAAAAUAUUCAAUAAGUACCCGCUGAGAUUCAAUUUUAGAUAUCAGUCAUUUCAAACAUUCAUGUUCAUGGUUUUCUGGUGUCAGAUGACAUACAGGGAAAUAAAAUGUUUUAUUUCUUUUAAUUAUUCAUUUAUUUAUUUAUAUAUUUUUAUUUUUAUUUUAAGAGUAACAGGCAUGAAUCAUUAUAGUGUAAUAGCAUUAAUGACAACAGCAGCAAAA